UCUUGGUCAUUUAGAGAAGUAAAAGUCGUAACAAGGUUUCCGUAGGUGAACCUGCGGAAGGAUCUUAAAGAACGCCCCGUUUUUUGAAAUGGGUAAUUCCCAAACCGUGUCUAAUACCUUUGUUGCUUUGGCAGGUCGCCUUCUAGGAGGCGUCGGCUCCGGUGACUGCGCCUGCCAGAGGACCCAAACUCGUUUUGUUUAGUGUCGUCUGGUACUAUAUAAUAGUUAAAACUUUCAACAACGGAUCUCUUGGUUCUGGCUCGAUGAAGAACGCAGCGAAAUGCGAUAAGUAAUGUGAAUUGCAGAAUUAGUGAAUCAUCGAAUCUUUGAACGCACAUUGCGCCCCUUGGUAUUCCGAGGGCAUGCCUGUUCGAGCGUCAUUAUAACCACUCAAGUUUCGACUUGGUUUGGGGUUCGCGGUUUCGCGGCCCUUAAAAUCAGUGGCGGUGCCGUCUGCUCUAAGCGUAGUAAUUCUCUCGCUACAGGGUCCGGGUGGUUGCUUGCCGAAUCCCCCACUUUUAUAGGUUGACCUCGGAUCAGGUAGGGAUACCCGCGAACUUAAGCAUAUCAAUAAGCGGAGGA
RNAcentral lists this ribosomal RNA (582 nucleotides) under uncultured fungus. RNAcentral describes it as "eukaryotic LSU rRNA". The stretch from base 230 to 380 matches the Rfam family "5.8S ribosomal RNA". The record is from RNAcentral. Lineage: Eukaryota; Fungi.